CUAAGCUUACAACUGCAAAUCUCACUAUAUAAGGUAAUUUACAAUUGGCAACUUGAUAUAUUACCAUUAAAUGAUUUUAUAACGCACGAUUAAAUUUACUCUAUUACUCUAUAUACAUACUUAUACAAUAAAAAUUUUAAAGUUUCAUCAAGUCCGGAUUCACUCAGUUCUUAUUUCGCCAACAAAAAAUGUAGAAGGUUGACCUUAUUGCCAUAUUAAUAAUCUUUUUAAUAACGUAUCUUACAUGAGCUUUAUCUAAAUUAAAAUGUUCUAACAUGUCUAUAAAACCAGAAGAUUCCUUGUCAAACACACCAAGUGCACUAAUCGAAAGGUUGAUGAAGUUUACCGCAUGAUAAUUUUUCUUUUGUUCCAUAAUCAUAUCUUUAUACUUGGAGUAUUUCCUGUUAACAUUAUUUCUGAGGUUAGUCUCAAUUCCACGGGUAAUUCCAGAAUAUACAGACAAUUGUCUUUCGUCAAAAUUAGUAAAUCAAGCCGAUAAUCAUCACCAGUGAUUGCAGAAGGAUUAGAAAAUGACCACAAAUCAUCAUAAAUGGUCCGGAUAUAUUCUGAUGGAAGGUUAUUAGCAAUUAAAUUUAGAAUUGAGUCAUGUCUCCAAGUAAAUCGAUCGAGGUAGGAACUGCAACCAGCAAAGACGUGCAAUAGAGAUUCAGGAUUAAUGCAGAACGAGCAUUCAGAAGACGAGGAUAGCCCCCAUCUUUGAAGGUUCCUACGGGUUGGCAGCGAAUUGUUUAUAUAGGGAAUGGUAAAGUUGAAAAUGUUUUUAGGCAAUUUGGACUGACAGGCUGGCCAGAUCGUAUUUACUUGGGUUAGGGAAAAUCUUGGUACACUGGUAAAGAAUGAGCCUUGGUAUGUUAGUUGGUUUGUUAAUUUAUCUACUUGAUCAUCACGAAAUGACUUAAUCACUUGCUUCGUCGAACUGUAUUGGUCGUAUUGAAUAUUAGUAUGAUUAGUUGUUGACUUCCACAGGUGGAUUAUUGAUUCAUUAGGAGAUGAUUUUAAAGCAUUCCGAAUUGUUACCUGGCAUUGUAAAAAGUUAGUUGAUGGGAGGAUGAUGUUAAGACCAAAUUUGUUGCUGCUUAGGUAGAUGUUACUCAGCGUUCCAGAAAUAGGUACCUCAAGCCAUUUGCGAACAUAUUGCGUAAAUAAAGAAUCCAAGUUUUCCGAAAUCCAGGUUUUUCAAAUAGAUGUAAUAGUAAGAUGCCAGGAGAGUUUCGAUAAAACAUAACGAUUGUAGAGUAGAAUCUUGUUCUUCGGAUGUAAUGGAUUGAGAUCUAUUUUUUUCAUUAGAUUUGUUAGAAGGGAGAUUAGUUCCAGUUCGUGUUCAUUAUUAGUCAUUUCAUAAUCAAAAUAUCUUCCUAAAUAGCAGAAUGAUUUACCGAGUUCAAUAGCUGGAAUAACGGCGUUGUUAAUAGGAAGUUUAGGGAGGUAUUGAACAGAUUUUGUGAGAGCCUUUUUAAUGCCAAAUGUGCUGCAUUUAUCCACUCGAACAAUCAUGUGAGCCCAUUGACACCAAAUUGCAAAUCGGUUUAAUAAAUACUGAUUUUCAUAUUCUUGACCGGUAAUCACGGCUGCGUCAUCACCAAAUUGGAACCAGAGAUUAGGUUCAACUGUUUAUAGGAAAAACCAAACUGUUGAUAUUUUUCGGAUUUUAUGUGCUGCACAAAAGUGUUGAAACAAAGGUUAAACAAUAAUGGACUAAGACAAUCUCCCUGCAAAACUCCACGACCAACUUGUAGAAAAGGGGUGUUGAGAUCAGAUGUGAUGAUUGAUGUUUUAAAAUUUGUGUAGAGGCUUUUAAUCAUGAAUUGAAUAUGUUCAGGUAUCUGAUGAUAGCCGAGAACCGAUUGAAUUAGAUUGUGAUGUACUUCACCGAAAGCAUUCUUGAGGUGAAAGAGGGUUAUAACGAAGGAUCGCUGUCUAAUUCGUGCUUGAUUGAUCAUAUAUGCCAUUUGUGCUGUGUGUUCAAAUGUUCCUGAGAUAUGGGAGGUGAAUCCUUUUUGUAUCUUGUGUUCAAUAAAGUUAUUCCCAAGUAGGCAAGCGAACAUAGCAUUACGGAGACUUGAAGUAAAUACUUUCAGUGGUACAGAUUGAAGGGUUAUUGGUCGAAAGUUCUCGGAAAGAUUAGUAUCGCCUUUCUUGUGGAUUAGUAUUGUGCAAGCUUUCUUCCAUUCGUCAGGAACAGUUCCAGAAAG
This is a non-coding RNA of Paramuricea clavata, 2213 nucleotides long. Lineage: Eukaryota; Metazoa; Cnidaria; Anthozoa; Malacalcyonacea; Plexauridae. The record is from the annotation of a GenBank genome assembly.